GGGUUUGUAGCUCAAUGGUAGAGCAAUGAGCUUUUAACUCAAAGGCUGCGGGUUCAAGUCCUGUCAAACCC
RNAcentral lists this transfer RNA (71 nucleotides) under Pseudomuriella schumacherensis. RNAcentral's name for it is "tRNA-Lys". It matches the Rfam family "tRNA". From Rfam's summary of the family: Transfer RNA (tRNA) molecules are approximately 80 nucleotides in length. Their secondary structure includes four short double-helical elements and three loops (D, anti-codon, and T loops). Further hydrogen bonds mediate the characteristic L-shaped molecular structure. tRNAs have two regions of fundamental functional importance: the anti-codon, which is responsible for specific mRNA codon recognition, and the 3' end, to which the tRNAs corresponding amino acid is attached (by aminoacyl-tRNA synthetases). tRNAs cope with the degeneracy of the genetic code in two manners: having more than one tRNA (with a specific anti-codon) for a particular amino acid; and 'wobble' base-pairing, i.e. permitting non-standard base-pairing at the 3rd anti-codon position. Lineage: Eukaryota; Viridiplantae; Chlorophyta; Chlorophyceae; Sphaeropleales; Pseudomuriellaceae. The record is from RNAcentral.